RNAcentral lists this unclassified non-coding RNA (297 nucleotides) under fungal sp. RNAcentral describes it as "partial internal transcribed spacer region". The stretch from base 1 to 46 matches the Rfam family "Eukaryotic small subunit ribosomal RNA", at positions 1786 to 1831 of the family's 1831-position model. The record is from RNAcentral. Lineage: Eukaryota; Fungi.
AAGUCGUAACAAGGUUUCCGUAGGUGAACCUGCGGAAGGAUCAUUAAAAAUAUAAAUUAUAUAAAAUAUUAUAUAUAAAUAUUUUUAUUUAUUAUAAUAGAAAAAUAUAAAAAAUUUAUAUAAAUUUAAUUUUAUAUAAAAUUUUUAUAUUUUUCGGUGAGAAUGAUAACUCUCACCAUUAAAAAAUUAAUAGUGUCAUAAAAAAUUAUAAUAUAAAAUUUUUAAGAUUUAGUUUAUGAAUUAUUUUUAUUUUAAUAAAUAAAAUAUAACUUUUAACAAUGGAUCUCUUGGCUCUUA